This 432-nucleotide ribosomal RNA is filed under the name uncultured bacterium. Its description in RNAcentral is "partial 16S ribosomal RNA". It matches the Rfam family "Bacterial small subunit ribosomal RNA", at positions 29 to 506 of the family's 1533-position model. The record is from RNAcentral.
AACGAACGCUGGCGGCAUGCCUAACACAUGCAAGUCGAACGAGACCUUCGGGUCUAGCGGCGCACGGGUGCGUAACGCGUGGGAACCUGCCCUUAGGUUCGGAAUAACUCCCCGAAAGGGGUGCUAAUACCGGAUAAUGUCUUCGGACCAAAGAUUUAUCGCCUUUGGAUGGGCCCGCGUUGGAUUAGCUAGUUGGUAGGGUAAAAGCCUACCAAGGCGACGAUCCAUAGCUGGUCUGAGAGGAUGAUCAGCCACACUGGGACUGAGACACGGCCCAGACUCCUACGGGAGGCAGCAGUGGGGAAUAUUGGACAAUGGGCGAAAGCCUGAUCCAGCAAUGCCGCGUGAGUGAUGAAGGCCUUAGGGUUGUAAAGCUCUUUUACCCGGGAUGAUAAUGACAGUACCGGGAGAAUAAGCUCCGGCUAACUCCGU